AAACUGCGAUAAGUAGUGUGAAUUGCAUUUAGUGAAUCAUCGAAUCUUUGAACGCACCCUGCACUCACUGGUAUUCCGGUGAGUACGCCUGUUUCAGUAUCAUUGAAAACACACAAUCAAAACAUUUUCUUUGGUUUGAUUGGCUUUGGGUCUAUCAAAAAGUUUGGCUUGUUUCUUACAAGCCAAGCGGCCUGAAAUAUAUUGUCUGGCUAAUUGCAUCGUUGAUGAUCGCUAUUAGACUUUGGCUUUUUUAAAUGAACUGGAGGUUGAUUAACCAGUUUUAGCAUUAGUCAAAUGGUCAUUGUAAAAAAAAUCUCGAUCUUGGCUAGGUGUUUAUAGCCGAAAAUUUUUUUUUGGCUAUAACCGAAACCAAUAUAAUCACAUUUAGUUAUCGAUCUGAAAUCAGGUGGGACUACCCGCUGAACUUAAGC
This 431-nucleotide unclassified non-coding RNA is filed under the name plant metagenome. Its description in RNAcentral is "partial contains 5.8S ribosomal RNA, internal transcribed spacer 2, and large subunit ribosomal RNA". The stretch from base 1 to 102 matches the Rfam family "5.8S ribosomal RNA", at positions 50 to 154 of the family's 154-position model. The record is from RNAcentral.